AAGGGUUCCUGUCCAACGUUAAUCGGGGCAGGGUGAGUCGACCCCUAAGGCGAGGCCGAAAGGCGUAGUCGAUGGGAAACAGGUUAAUAUUCCUGUACUUGGUGUUACUGCGAAGGGGGACGGAGAAGGCUAUGUUAGCCGGGCGACGGUUGUCCCGGUUUAAGCAUGUAGGCUGGUUGUCCAGGCAAAUCCGGAUAAUCAAGGCUGAGGUGUGAUGACGAGGCACUACGGUGCUGAAGUAACAAAUGCCCUGCUUCCAGGAAAAGCCUCUAAGCAUCAGGUAACAUCAAAUCGUACCCCAAACCGACACAGGUGGUCAGGUAGAGAAUACCAAG
RNAcentral lists this ribosomal RNA (335 nucleotides) under Klebsiella pneumoniae. RNAcentral describes it as "bacterial LSU rRNA". It matches the Rfam family "Bacterial large subunit ribosomal RNA", at positions 1347 to 1685 of the family's 2925-position model. The record is from RNAcentral. Lineage: Bacteria; Pseudomonadati; Pseudomonadota; Gammaproteobacteria; Enterobacterales; Enterobacteriaceae.